Molecule: non-coding RNA, 1382 nt
Organism: Ceratotherium simum simum (southern white rhinoceros)
Lineage: Eukaryota; Metazoa; Chordata; Mammalia; Perissodactyla; Rhinocerotidae
Source: RefSeq, a predicted model, not a curated record
GCUGUAAGAACAUUUUUAUUACUGCUGGCUCCUGUCAAAUAAGAUUAUGAAGAAACAGCGAUUAAUUCUGCAACUCACAGAGAAGAUUCUAGACCAAGACAUGAGACUCUAGUAGCAUUGUCUUGUUUAUUAACAUCAUUGAAACAUUUUGCUGAUAAAACUUUUGUCUGUAACUAUUCUAGCAACAAAAUUUUUCUCAAAAUAUUUCACUGUGAAAUGGUGCUGCAACUUGAAUGUAGUUUUUAUCAAUGAAUUGAAUUCCAUAAAGCAAAUCUAACUCUUAAAAUGGCAGAUUCAGUGACCAAAAAGUGAUUCAAAAAAAGCUUCCCCCUCCCCAUGCCAAUCCUGAGACCACUUGGAUCAAGCUGAGUUCCGGACCCUGGGCCUAGACUGAAGGAGGAGAGAAAGAACGUAACUCAUUCCUAACUUACUAGAACAGGCUACUAGGACACUCAACACUUACGCGACAAAGAAACCACAUGAACAGGUGAGUUUACUGGGCAGCUAUAGGAAGGUGCAGCCUGGACGAAUCUGACGGAGCAUAUUCAUCAUCAUUAUCACAAUGCUAUUCCUAAGGUGUCCUAAUUGGAUGAGCUACAAAAAUCAGUUUCUGUUUGCCUCCUUCCCAUCUCACCUGUUGGCCUUCCUGCAGAAGCCUUGGGAGAGAUCCUGAGCUUUUCAUAUUCUACUGAUAUAUUUUUGCAUUACUGUUUUGAUGAAUAAAAUAUAACAUGCUUCUCUCUCUUAGUCCCCUAAAGUAUGUGUGUAUCAGCCUGGGAGAGUAGAUUUGGGUAGUUGAAAUACAAGUCGUUUCUCCCUGUGAUUCUCUGCCUUUUGCUGAAGGUUGAUUAUUGAGUCUCACUUUCUACUUAAUUAGAACAGCUAGUUCUUUUGUUCUUUCUGAGAAGCUGGAGCAUGAGAUUAGAGAACAGUGGGGAAAGGUUGGCCAAGCUGAGACAGGAAGAACAGCGUCUCUAGAAGCUCUAGCUCUGGGUUUCAGGCACUUCAGUAAGAGACUUUCCUCCCUUGUUCCUAUGUACGUUCAAGGAAAUGAAAGCAAGAAGUCCCCAGAUGCUGCCUGGGGUUGGGGGGGGGGGUGGCAAAUGAGGUACCAGCUAGCAGCACAGACCCCCCAGAGGGCCAUUCCUUGAGGAAAGAUUCAUUGACACAAAGGGUUCCCCUCCUGCCUUUUCUUACUCAUGUCAGCCACUUUCAGAGAAAUGGGAGGACCAUUUUUUAUUGGUAGGCAGGAAAUGAGGCUCCAGACCCCUCUUGACAUGCUCAUUCCAGCCCAUGCCUUUCUCACAAUCUCUGAGCCAUGCCAGCCUUGGGUUGGCCUUUUUAGGAAGGAGCAGGACCCCAGAGAGGAAGUCAGGGCCUAG